RNAcentral lists this ribosomal RNA (344 nucleotides) under Philippia lutea. RNAcentral describes it as "eukaryotic LSU rRNA". It matches the Rfam family "Eukaryotic large subunit ribosomal RNA", at positions 34 to 359 of the family's 3401-position model. The record is from RNAcentral. Lineage: Eukaryota; Metazoa; Mollusca; Gastropoda; Architectonicidae.
UUAAGCAUAUAAGUAAGCGGAGGAAGAGAAACUAACGAGGAUUCCCUCAGUAGCGGCGAGUGAAGCGGGAAAAGCCCAGCACCGAAUCCCCCCGGCCGCAGAGCCGUCGCGCGGGAAAUGUGGUGUAUGGGACGCCGAUGGUCGGCGGGCGCGGCGGGCCUGUCCCUCCUCUGGAGUGCCGACACCCCGAGCGGGUGAGAGGCCUCUGCGGGCCCCCGUUCCCCCCGUCGACCGCGGCGUCUCGGGAGUCGGGUUGCUUGAGAGUGCAGCCUAAAGCGGGUGGUAAACUCCAUCUAAGGCUAAAUACUGUCCGGGAGUGCGAUAGUCGACAAGUACCGCGAGGG